UACGAGGGGAGCAAGCGUUGUUCGGAUUUACUGGGCGUAAAGGGCGCGUAGGCGGCGUGACAAGUCACUUGUGAAAUCUCCGGGCUUAACUCGGAACGGUCAAGUGAAACUGUCGUGCUAGAGUACAGAAGGGGCGACUGGAAUUCUCGGUGUAGCGGUGAAAUGCGUAGAUAUCGAGAGGAACACCUGCGGCGAAGGCGGGUUGCUGGGCUGAUACUGACGCUGAUGCGCGAAAGCCAGGGGAGCGAACGGG
Molecule: ribosomal RNA, 253 nt
Filed under: uncultured bacterium
Lineage: Bacteria
Description: partial 16S ribosomal RNA
Rfam family: Bacterial small subunit ribosomal RNA
Source: RNAcentral